RNAcentral lists this ribosomal RNA (468 nucleotides) under uncultured bacterium. RNAcentral describes it as "partial 16S ribosomal RNA". It matches the Rfam family "Bacterial small subunit ribosomal RNA", at positions 28 to 507 of the family's 1533-position model. The record is from RNAcentral.
GACGAACGCUGGCGGCGUGCUUAACACAUGCAAGUCGAACGGAAAGGCCCUGCUUUUGUGGGGUGCUCGAGUGGCGAACGGGUGAGUAACACGUGAGUAACCUGCCCUUGACUUUGGGAUAACUUCAGGAAACUGGGGCUAAUCCCGGAUAGCAGCUCCUGCUGCAUGGUGGGGGUUGGAAAGUUUCGGCGGUUGGGGAUGGACUCGCGGCUUAUCAGCUUGUUGGUGGGGGAGUGGCUUACCAAGGCAUUGACGGGUAGGCGGCCUGGGAGGGUGACCGGCCACAUUGGGACUGAGAGACGGCCCAGACUCCUACGGGAGGCAGCAGUGGGGAAUAUUGCACAGUGGGCGGAAGCCUGAUGCAGCAACGCCGGGUGCGGGAUGACGGCCUUCGGGUUGUAAACCGCUUUCGCCUGUGACGAAGCGUGAGUGACGGUAAUGGGUAAAGAAGCACCGGCUAACUACGUG